UGGGGAAUCUUCCGCAAUGGACGAAAGUCUGACGGAGCAACGCCGCGUGAGUGAAGAAGGUUUUCGGAUCGUAAAACUCUGUCUUUUGGGGCGAACGUGAGUAUGGUGAACAAUCAUAGUCAGUGACGGUACCAAAGGAGGAAGCCACGGCUAACUACGUGCCAGCAGCCGCGGUAAUACGUAGGUGGCAAGCGUUGUCCGGAAUUAUUGGGCGUAAAGAGCGCGUAGGCGGGAUAGUCAGUCUGUUGUAAAGUGCGGGGCUCAACCCGUGAUGGCAAUGGAAACAGCUAUUCUUGAGUGCAGGAGAGGAAAGUGGAAUUCCCAGUGUAGCGGUGAAAUGCGUAGAUAUUGGGAGGAACACCAGUGGCGAAGGCGACUUUCUGGACUGUGUCUGACGCUGAGGCGCGAAAGCCAGGGGAGCGAACGGGAUUAGAUACCCCGGUAGUCCUGGCCGUAAACGAUGGGUACUAGGUGUGGGAGGUAUCGACCCCUUCCGUGCCGGAGUUAACGCAAUAAGUACCCCGCCUGGGGAGUACGGUCGCAAGACUGAAACUCAAAGGAAUUGAC
This 567-nucleotide ribosomal RNA is filed under the name uncultured bacterium. RNAcentral describes it as "partial 16S ribosomal RNA". It matches the Rfam family "Bacterial small subunit ribosomal RNA", at positions 355 to 914 of the family's 1533-position model. The record is from RNAcentral.